This 237-nucleotide non-coding RNA is filed under the name Paenibacillus rhizosphaerae. Its description in RNAcentral is "T-box sequence". It matches the Rfam family "T-box leader". From Rfam's summary of the family: Uncharged tRNA acts as the effector for transcription antitermination of genes in the T-box leader family. The record is from RNAcentral. Lineage: Bacteria; Bacillati; Bacillota; Bacilli; Caryophanales; Paenibacillaceae.
AAUGAAGCGAUGAUAAGGGGUAUUAGUUCCAGGGAUGUCAUACAGAGAGCCGGCGGUGGGUGCAAGCCGGUUGACGAUUUGGGAUGAACUCGCCUUUGAGCUAUGAUGUGAAGCGCGUGCGAAAGCGCGUCAAGGAUCAUCGAUUCACCCGCGUUAAGGGUGCAAAGGGAGCGGGGAUAAAGCAUGUCCUCCGCUAACUAGGGUGGUACCACGGGAAUCAAACCUCUCGUCCCUAGC